RNAcentral lists this long non-coding RNA (710 nucleotides) under Prunus dulcis (almond). Its description in RNAcentral is "sRNA ncRNA". The record is from RNAcentral. Lineage: Eukaryota; Viridiplantae; Streptophyta; Magnoliopsida; Rosales; Rosaceae.
AGCAAAUAUAACAACAAUACAAAGCUUUUUCUUGGUGCAAGGAGCGAAAGUUAUUUCCCAUUAUUACAGAGCUCUGUCAGAUCCUGGACAAGCUUAUCAACAUAGCCACUCUUAAGCCCUGGGUCAGAUAGGAUUUUUCUCCACUUUGCAUGGUUCUUCUUCACCGUAACACCCACCUCAUUGUCUUUAUCCAUAACAACGGUAACGGCUUUGCUCAAGCUCCCCUUUGAAAACCAUCCAUUUUCUUCUCUCUAGUACAACACUGCUUUUUUAGGAACCCUUGGAUUUGGUCACGAGUAGGUCCAUGGCAAUAGAGAGCAACAUGGAUGUUGGGAUAUCGGAGGCAAUCUCAGUGCCCUCAGGGAGGCCUUCAACGUGGGGAACAGUGAUUGUAUGGAAGGUGAUGAGAUUUGGGUGGAGAUUGAGAUGUUGAAGCUCAAGUUGAGCUUUUUUGGGCACUAAGAAAGAGAUCCUAUGGCGUCUGGCAGCGAGCUCGUUAGAGAGGUGGAGGAAAGGGGUGAUGUGUCCCAUUGCAAACCAUGGGAACAUGGCUAUUUGAAAAUUAUUUGAGCUCUGAUUGGGCUGCGCCAUUUGAUUAACUUUUGUGCUAGCUCUUGUAUACCUGUGUUCCUUCUCGUUUGAUCCAAGAUCUCAAAGAACGUAUACUAUGUAUGUGGCUACGAGGUUAAUUAUAACUUAUGAGGCUUACC